GGACGAGAACAGACUGUUUUUGUGUUUGCUGAACACAUUUUUGGAUCCCGAAAGAGAUCGUUAUACACCACAUAACGAUCUUAUACCUGCAGAACGAAGAUACAGAAUUUCACGGAGAAAAGGAUAACCGCUGCACCCCACUUUCUCCCCACUAAGUCGACUCUGCUGUUUUCCUCUGCUGCCGCCCGAGGACCAGCCUUGCCGUUGAAUCCGCCUACAAAGCAGUGCCCCGGCCACCGUCAGUAUCCGAGCCUGAGAGGACUCCGCGGGAUAACCCAAAUGGACUGAACUCAUUGCAUCGAUUUCAAGAGCUAUUUCAAUUCCGGGUUAAUGUACUGGUACUUCUUGGAAUGAUGGAUUCAUUUUUAAUGGAGACCGCUGUCCUGAGAAGACAAUGUCAUCUGCCAUCUUGAGGAGUUUAACCAACGGGUCUGUUCUGUUGAGGACAGGAAGAGGCCAGGAAGUGCCCACAGGUGCCGACCAAUCAGAGUCCAGCACAGAGCAGGAAAAUCCCCCUAGGCCUGCCCAUCACAAACAUGUGCAGCACCCAACCGCACCAUGAUGCCUUAUUCUGAUUCUACAG
Molecule: long non-coding RNA, 583 nt
Organism: Siniperca chuatsi (mandarin fish)
Lineage: Eukaryota; Metazoa; Chordata; Actinopteri; Centrarchiformes; Sinipercidae
Exons: 4
Source: RefSeq, a predicted model, not a curated record